GGAGGCAGCAGUGGGGAAUAUUGCACAAUGGGCGCAAGCCUGAUGCAGCCAUCCCGCGUGUAUGAAGAAGGCCUUCGGGUUGUAAAGUCUUUCAGCGAGGAGGAAGGUGUCUGUGGUUAAUANCCGCAGCAAUUGACGUUACUCGCAAAAGAA
Molecule: ribosomal RNA, 153 nt
Filed under: uncultured Gammaproteobacteria bacterium
Lineage: Bacteria; Pseudomonadati; Pseudomonadota; Gammaproteobacteria
Description: partial 16S ribosomal RNA
Rfam family: Bacterial small subunit ribosomal RNA
Source: RNAcentral